This 465-nucleotide ribosomal RNA is filed under the name Vreelandella stevensii. RNAcentral's name for it is "partial 16S ribosomal RNA". It matches the Rfam family "Bacterial small subunit ribosomal RNA", at positions 338 to 795 of the family's 1533-position model. The record is from RNAcentral. Lineage: Bacteria; Pseudomonadati; Pseudomonadota; Gammaproteobacteria; Oceanospirillales; Halomonadaceae.
CCUACGGGUGGCUGCAGUGGGGAAUAUUGGACAAUGGGCGAAAGCCUGAUCCAGCCAUGCCGCGUGUGUGAAGAAGGCCUUCGGGUUGUAAAGCACUUUCAGUGGGGAAGAAAGCCUUGGGGCUAAUACCCUCGAGGAAGGACAUCACCCACAGAAGAAGCACCGGCUAACUCCGUGCCAGCAGCCGCGGUAAUACGGAGGGUGCGAGCGUUAAUCGGAAUUACUGGGCGUAAAGCGCGCGUAGGCGGUCUGAUAAGCCGGUUGUGAAAGCCCCGGGCUCAACCUGGGAACGGCAUCCGGAACUGUCAGGCUAGAGUGCAGGAGAGGAAGGUAGAAUUCCCGGUGUAGCGGUGAAAUGCGUAGAGAUCGGGAGGAAUACCAGUGGCGAAGGCGGCCUUCUGGACUGACACUGACGCUGAGGUGCGAAAGCGUGGGUAGCAAACAGGACUAGAUACCCCAGUAGUC